UUGGGGUGUUUUUGGAUCAAGGUUAGAAAAUUGAAGCCGGUAGCGGCUGUGGAGUAUGGAAAUGUGGAUGGAGAGAGUGUGGAGGCGUAUCCCAUGGUGUUGGUGCAGAUCCCUAUGUGCAAUGAGAGAGAGGUUUACCAACAAUCUAUUGCAGCUGUUUGUAUCCAGGACUGGCCAAAGGAGAGAAUGCUUAUACAGGUUUUGGAUGAUUCUGAUGAGUUAGAUGUCCAACUCCUUAUCAAGGCAGAAGUGCAGAAAUGGCAACAAAGGGGUGUACACAUAUUGUAUAGACAUCGUCUUAUACG
RNAcentral lists this unclassified non-coding RNA (305 nucleotides) under Hevea brasiliensis (rubber tree). The record is from RNAcentral. Lineage: Eukaryota; Viridiplantae; Streptophyta; Magnoliopsida; Malpighiales; Euphorbiaceae.